UAGAGGAGCCAUUUGACNNNUCUACAAAAUUUGUUAGAUGGUGUCACAGAAUCGGAGGCCACGACUGUUUAAUUAAAACACAGACAUCUGCUACGAUUAAUUUAUUUGUAUAGGUGUUGAAUUUUGCCCCAUGCCAUCAACAUAAGGUCUGCGAGUUCAAAUAUGCGGAUUGAAAGUCUGGUUAAUGGCGGUCUUAACUAUAAGGAUCCUAAGGUAGCGAAAUUUAUUGUCCGUUAAAUGCGGUCCCGCAUGAAUAAAGUAACGAUGGUCUCACUGUCUCUACAAGCAUCUCAGUGAAAUUGAACUAGCCGUGCAGAUGCGGCUUACCUCCGGGUGGACGGGAAGACCCUAUGCAGCUUCUACUG
Molecule: ribosomal RNA, 365 nt
Filed under: Rhizoctonia solani
Lineage: Eukaryota; Fungi; Basidiomycota; Agaricomycetes; Cantharellales; Ceratobasidiaceae
Description: LSU rRNA
Rfam family: Bacterial large subunit ribosomal RNA
Source: RNAcentral